Long non-coding RNA from Bradysia coprophila, 416 nucleotides. NCBI's taxonomy places the organism in Eukaryota, Metazoa, Arthropoda, Insecta, Diptera, Sciaridae. The record is from RefSeq and is a predicted model, not a curated record.
GAUCAUUUAGCAUGCAUUAAUGCUCGAUGCGCUGAUCCUUGCCGGGGAACAUGUGGCGUUGUUGCAGAAUGUACAACAAUCCGCCACACCCCAAAUUGCCUAUGUCCACCCAACUAUACAGGAGAUCCAUUUGUUAGAUGUACGCAAGUGGAAUCAGAAAUGGAAUGUCAACCAAACCCAUGCGGGAGCAAUACAAAAUGCAAAGUUCGUGGCAGUGCUAAAGCAUGCUCGUGCCUUAAUGGAUACUACGGUUAUUAAUAAAUAAAUAAAUGGAUACUACGGUGAUCCACUGAGUGGAUGCCGCCGCGGAUCAAACUAUGAGCGCGAGUCAAACUAUGAGCGCGAGUCAAACGAUGCGUGCGUGUCAAACGAUGACUGUGGCAGCCGAUGUUGUUUAAACUUUAGGUGUUUUCCUG